This 268-nucleotide ribosomal RNA is filed under the name uncultured bacterium. RNAcentral's name for it is "partial 16S ribosomal RNA". It matches the Rfam family "Bacterial small subunit ribosomal RNA", at positions 335 to 596 of the family's 1533-position model. The record is from RNAcentral.
ACUCCUACGGGAGGCAGCAGUGGGAAUAUUGCACAAAUGGGCGCAAGCCUGAUGCAGCCAUGCCGCGUGUAUGAAGAAGGCCUUCGGGUUGUAAAGUACUUUCAGCAGUGAGGAAGGUGGAGUCAGUUAAUCGCGCUCAUUUGACGUAUGCUGCAGAAGAAGCACCGGCUAACUCCGUGCCAGCAGCCGCGGUAAUACGGAGGGUGCGAGCGUUAAUCGGAAUUACUGGGCGUAAAGCGCAUGCAGGUGGUUUGUUAAGUCAGAUGUG